GGGGUCGUAGCUCAGUUGGGAGAGCGCAUGCAUGGCAUGCAUGAGGUCACGGGUUCGAUCCCCGUCGGCUCCA
Molecule: transfer RNA, 73 nt
Filed under: Pajaroellobacter abortibovis
Lineage: Bacteria; Pseudomonadati; Myxococcota; Polyangiales; Polyangiaceae
Rfam family: tRNA
About the family: Transfer RNA (tRNA) molecules are approximately 80 nucleotides in length. Their secondary structure includes four short double-helical elements and three loops (D, anti-codon, and T loops). Further hydrogen bonds mediate the characteristic L-shaped molecular structure. tRNAs have two regions of fundamental functional importance: the anti-codon, which is responsible for specific mRNA codon recognition, and the 3' end, to which the tRNAs corresponding amino acid is attached (by aminoacyl-tRNA synthetases). tRNAs cope with the degeneracy of the genetic code in two manners: having more than one tRNA (with a specific anti-codon) for a particular amino acid; and 'wobble' base-pairing, i.e. permitting non-standard base-pairing at the 3rd anti-codon position.
Source: Rfam by way of RNAcentral